This 2000-nucleotide long non-coding RNA is filed under the name Suricata suricatta (meerkat). RNAcentral's name for it is "lncRNA (ENSSSUG00005002427.1)". The record is from RNAcentral. Lineage: Eukaryota; Metazoa; Chordata; Mammalia; Carnivora; Herpestidae.
GCCACCAGGGCCUGCCACCCCGCGGGGGAGCCUCCCGUCCGGCGCACGAGCCGGCCCCGCGGCGCCGCCGUCCCGCUCGGAGGCCCCGGGGGAGCNNNNNNNNNNNNNNNNNNNNNNNNNNNNNNNNNNNNNNNNNNNNNNNNNNNNNNNNNNNNNNNNNNNNNNNNNNNNNNNNNNNNNNNNNNNNNNNNNNNNGCCCGGGGCCUGACGCGGGCCGGCGGAUCCCCGGCCUCACGUACGCGCGCUCGCCGCCCGCCCUGCCUGCGCGGCCCUGCCCGCCGCCCUACGGGAGCCCGGGGAUGUGGGCCGGGCCUGGGGCCGCCUCUGCUUACCUUUCAGCUGCUUUUUUUUUUUUUUCUCCUUCCCCCCUUUUCCCUCGGCCGGGCUGACAGAUCAGAGUGAGAGGCGCUGGCAAUGGACUAGGAAGCUCGGCUGCCGCUGCUACUGCUCCCCCCUGGGCUCCGGCGAGAGCCUUUCCCUGUCAAGCAAGAGGGCCAAGAAGGCAGGGCUGCCGGGGCUGCACAAGAAGAGGCAGCAGCCUCCUACAGCACCACUACAGGCACUGCGAGGACAUAACACCAGAGAGCCGCUCCUCUGCCCUCCGAAACGACAACUUUCCUACCAUCUUGGAGGCAGAGGAAAGGGGGGCCGGGGGGAAAAGUGCACCCGCUCCCGAUAAAGUACAAAUUUCGACUUCUCCUCUCUGCAAAAAAGUCCAUACCGGCCGUCUACACUGGCGCCUGGGGGGAAGAGCUGGGAAGAAACUGGGGGUGCUUGAGAAACCUUUUCAUUUGCACCUCGGGGGGAAAAAUGUUUCUGCAUCUUCUGAUGGAAAGAAAUCUUUACAAGACACAGGUUUUCCGGUGAUUCUUGUUUUCUAUUUCCUAUGUGAUUUUUUUUUCCAGGUUGGUGGCAGGGGUAUUUUAAUUUUUUUUUCAGGCUAAUAAUGAUUCUUCAUUGCGGAUCCAAGUUCUGUGUCUGGUGGGCAGUUUAUAAAUUUGUACUUUAAGAGACUUCGCUGUAUCUUUAUUUGUCUGUUGAUAUGUUUUUACCUGCAUAUUUGCAAGUCGCUUUAUAUAUAAAAAUGUGUAUUAUAUAUUCCACUCAAAACUGAGACUGCUAGAAGACAAUUGUUAAAGGAUGUCUUUUGUCUUCUUUUCUCGAAGCUAUGUAAAUAAAACCUAUUGACUGUCCAGAAAGGCUUGAUACAGCUGUUUAUUUUUCACAGUGCCAAUGAAGGCAGAGAUCACUGAGAGAUUAAAUACAACUUAAGUAUAACUGAGCACAUUUCUGAGAAUAAUUCUAUUCUGUUAUGGUGUACCCGUGAAGAAAGCUUACUGUGAAACUGGAAACAGACUUGAAAAGUCAGCUUUAAAUUUUCUUUAGAAUUACUUAUUGAGAAAAUUUGCUUAUUAUACCCAGAUAUUUGAUUUUCUAAUCAGAUUCUUUAGGGUUUAGGUCUUUGGUGCAUCGCACGUGUUGCUGUCCACUUUCUGUAUCAGAGAAUGGAGAAAUGUGUGUUUUUGUUAGAGUUGAUUGAUACAUUGUUAGUUCAUAACUUCCAGUGUGCUGCCAGCCGGUAAUAAAUCACUGUAUAAAUCAUAUUGCAGUGGUUAUCACCGAUCUACUUUUUUUUAAUGAGCAAAGCGUGGUAGAUAAAUGGGAUCAAAGUUAGGCGAAGCUGAGGUAGCAGAGAUGAGAGAAGGGGGCCGCCCACUUGCAUCAAUUCCCAUGGACUCUUAUUGGAGGAGAACAAAUUACACAGCUUUUCCUCUACUUUGGCGAUGAAAGAAAAGAAUACCAGAAUAUGAUCACAAGGUUUUUUUGUAUGUUCUACAGGGAAUGAUGAGCUGAAUCUUGUGCUAAGAGUUAUGUUUCUGACACACGUUGGCCAACCUAGUGGGAAUGGAUUUGUGCUAUUAGUGCCUUGAAUCAGCAGAAUAUUUAAUUUCUCUCAUUUAAAGUGUAUCACAAAGCAUUUAGAAGUAACUGAUGACUCC